GCUGGGCACAGUGGUGCGUGCCUGUAGUCCCAGCUACUCCGGAGGCUGAGGUGGGAGGAUCGCUUGAACCCAGGAGUUCUGGGCUAUAGUGCACUGUGCCAAUCGGGUGUCCACACUAAGUUCUGCAUCAAUACGGUGACCUCCCGGGAGCGGGGGACCACCAGGUUGCCUAAGGAGGGGUGAACCGAUCCAGGUCGGUAAGGGAGCAGGUCAAAACUCCCGUGUAAUCAGUAGUGGGAUGGCACCUGUGAAUAGCCACUGUACUCCAGCCAGGGCAACAUAGCGAGACCCCAUCUAA
This 298-nucleotide signal recognition particle RNA is filed under the name Saimiri boliviensis boliviensis (Bolivian squirrel monkey). RNAcentral describes it as "Metazoan signal recognition particle RNA (ENSSBOG00000009393.1)". It matches the Rfam family "Metazoan signal recognition particle RNA". Rfam says of the family: The signal recognition particle (SRP) is a universally conserved ribonucleoprotein. It is involved in the co-translational targeting of proteins to membranes. The record is from RNAcentral. Lineage: Eukaryota; Metazoa; Chordata; Mammalia; Primates; Cebidae.